Molecule: ribosomal RNA, 200 nt
Filed under: uncultured bacterium
Lineage: Bacteria
Description: partial 16S ribosomal RNA
Rfam family: Bacterial small subunit ribosomal RNA
Source: RNAcentral
ACGCUCGACACCUACGGAGGCAGCGGUUGGGAAUAUUGGACAAUGGAGGAAACUCUGAUCCAGUGACGCCGCGUGAAGGAAGAAGGUCUUCGGAUUGUAAACUUAUUUUGUCAGGGAAGAAAAAAUGACUGUACCUGAAGAAAAAGCACCGGCUAACUACGUGCCAGCAGUCCACGGUAAUCUGAGCGGGCUGGCAAGGC